GCCUGGCUAGCUCAGUCAGUAGAGCAUGUGACUCUUGAUCUCAGGGUUAUGAGUUAAAGACCCACGCUGGGUG
Molecule: transfer RNA, 73 nt
Filed under: Felis catus (domestic cat)
Lineage: Eukaryota; Metazoa; Chordata; Mammalia; Carnivora; Felidae
Rfam family: tRNA
About the family: Transfer RNA (tRNA) molecules are approximately 80 nucleotides in length.
Source: Rfam by way of RNAcentral